CCCUUAGAUGUUCUGGGCUGCACGCGUGUUACAAUCGGGAGUACAACAAGGUUGCAAAUCCUAGUGGAUGAGUGGUUCUUCGAAAUUUUCUGAAGACUGGGAUAGUUGAUUGAAAUUAUUCAACUCAAACGAGGAAUUCCUUGUAAUUGUAAUUCAUUAUAUUGUAAUGAAUACGUCCCUGCCCUUUGUACACACCGCCCGUCGCUCCUACCGAUUGAACGAUCCGGUGAAUUAUUUGGAGUAGCUCUGGAAGUUGCAGAACUUCCUAUGUCACGAAAUUUUGUAAACCUUAUCGUUUAGAGGAAGGAAAAGUCGUAACA
Molecule: ribosomal RNA, 320 nt
Filed under: uncultured eukaryote
Lineage: Eukaryota
Description: partial 18S ribosomal RNA
Rfam family: Eukaryotic small subunit ribosomal RNA
Source: RNAcentral